This 301-nucleotide ribosomal RNA is filed under the name uncultured bacterium. RNAcentral's name for it is "partial 16S ribosomal RNA". It matches the Rfam family "Bacterial small subunit ribosomal RNA", at positions 509 to 807 of the family's 1533-position model. The record is from RNAcentral.
CAGUAGCCGCGGUAAUACAGAGGGUGCGAGCGUUAAUCGGAUUUACUGGGCGUAAAGCGUGCGUAGGCGGCUUUUUAAGUCGGAUGUGAAAUCCCUGAGCUUAACUUAGGAAUUGCAUUCGAUACUGGUAAGCUAGAGUAUGGGAGAGGAUGGUAGAAUUCCAGGUGUAGCGGUGAAAUGCGUAGAGAUCUGGAGGAAUACCGGUGGCGAAGGCGGCCCCCUGGACAAAGACUGACGCUCAGGUGCGAAAGCGUGGGGAGCAAACAGGAUUAGAUACCCCAGUAGUCCCUGUCUCUUAUAC